UAGAGUUUGAUCAUGGCUCAGAUUGAACGCUGGCGGUAUGCUUAACACAUGCAAGUCGAACGGAAACGAUACUAGCUUGCUAGUAGGCGUCGAGUGGCGGACGGGUGAGUAACGCGUAGGAAUCUACCAGAUAGUGGGGGAUAGCCCGGAGAAAUUCGGAUUAAUACCGCAUAAUCUCUACGGAGUAAAGGAGGCCUCUAUUUAUAUGCUUUCGCUAUCUGAUGAGCCUGCGUAAGAUUAGCUAGUUGGUGAGGUAAAAGCUCACCAAGGCGACGAUCUUUAGCUGGUCUGAGAGGAUGAUCAGCCACACUGGGACUGAGACACGGCCCAGACUCCUACGGGAGGCAGCAGUGGGGAAUAUUGGACAAUGGGGGCAACCCUGAUCCAGCAAUACCGCGUGUGUGAAGAAGGCCUGAGGGUUGUAAAGCACUUUCAAUUGUGAAGAAAAGUUAAUA
This 455-nucleotide ribosomal RNA is filed under the name uncultured marine bacterium. RNAcentral describes it as "bacterial SSU rRNA". It matches the Rfam family "Bacterial small subunit ribosomal RNA", at positions 1 to 458 of the family's 1533-position model. The record is from RNAcentral.